This 91-nucleotide signal recognition particle RNA is filed under the name Pseudomonas aeruginosa. RNAcentral's name for it is "signal recognition particle sRNA small type". It matches the Rfam family "Bacterial small signal recognition particle RNA". Rfam says of the family: The signal recognition particle (SRP) is a universally conserved ribonucleoprotein involved in the co-translational targeting of proteins to membranes. Archaeal SRP consists of a 7S RNA and homologues of the eukaryotic SRP19 and SRP54 proteins. The record is from RNAcentral. Lineage: Bacteria; Pseudomonadati; Pseudomonadota; Gammaproteobacteria; Pseudomonadales; Pseudomonadaceae.
UGUUGGUUCUCCCGCAACGCUACUCUGUUUACCAGGUCAGGUCCGGAAGGAAGCAGCCAGAGCAGACGACGUGUGUGCCGGGAUGUAGCUG